This 301-nucleotide ribosomal RNA is filed under the name uncultured bacterium. RNAcentral describes it as "partial 16S ribosomal RNA". It matches the Rfam family "Bacterial small subunit ribosomal RNA", at positions 509 to 807 of the family's 1533-position model. The record is from RNAcentral.
CAGUAGCCGCGGGAAUACGUAGGGUGCAAGCGUUAAUCGGAAUUACUGGGCGUAAAGCGUACGCAGGCGGUUAUAUAAGACAGAUGUGAAAUCCCCGGGCUCAACCUGGGAACUGCAUUUGUGACUGUAUAGCUAGAGUACGGCAGAGGGGGAUGGAAUUCCGCGUGUAGCAGUGAAAUGCGUAGAUAUGCGGAGGAACACCGAUGGCGAAGGCAAUCCCCUGGGCCUGUACUGACGCUCAUGCACGAAAGCGUGGGGAGCAAACAGGAUUAGAUACCCGGGUAGUCCCUGUCUCUUAUAC